UUUCCAGAGAUGGACUGGUGCCUUCGGGAACUGUGAGACAGGUGCUGCAUGGCUGUCGUCAGCUCGUGUUGUGAAAUGUUGGGUUAAGUCCCGCAACGAGCGCAACCCUUAUCCUUUGUUGCCAGCGGUCCGGCCGGGAACUCAAAGGAGACUGCCAGUGAUAAACUGGAGGAAGGUGGGGAUGACGUCAAGUCAUCAUGGCCCUUACGACCAGGGCUACACACGUGCUACAAUGGCGCAUACAAAGAGAAGCGACCUCGCGAGAGUAAGCGGACCUCAUAAAGUGCGUCGUAGUCCGGAUUGGAGUCUGCAACUCGACUCCAUGAAGUCGGAAUCGCUAGUAAUCGUGGAUCAGAAUGCCACGGUGAAUACGUUCCCGGGCCUUGUACACACCGCCCGUCACACCAUGGGAGUGGGUUGCAAAAGAAGUAGGUAGCUUAACCUUCGGGAGGGCGCUUACCACUUUGUGAUUCAUGACUGGGGUGAAGUCGUAACAAGGUAACCGUAGGGGAACCUGCGGUUGGAUCACCUCCUUACCUUAAAGAA
RNAcentral lists this ribosomal RNA (546 nucleotides) under Salmonella enterica. RNAcentral's name for it is "bacterial SSU rRNA". It matches the Rfam family "Bacterial small subunit ribosomal RNA", at positions 997 to 1533 of the family's 1533-position model. Lineage: Bacteria; Pseudomonadati; Pseudomonadota; Gammaproteobacteria; Enterobacterales; Enterobacteriaceae. RNAcentral also lists the same sequence under 1 other name. The record is from RNAcentral.